Molecule: transfer RNA, 72 nt
Filed under: Pangasianodon gigas (Mekong giant catfish)
Lineage: Eukaryota; Metazoa; Chordata; Actinopteri; Siluriformes; Pangasiidae
Description: tRNA-His
Rfam family: tRNA
About the family: Transfer RNA (tRNA) molecules are approximately 80 nucleotides in length. Their secondary structure includes four short double-helical elements and three loops (D, anti-codon, and T loops).
Source: RNAcentral
GCUGUGAUCGUAUAGUGAUUAGUGCUCUGCGUUGUGGCUGCAGCAACCCUGGUUCAAAUCCGGGUCAUGGCA